CCCGCUGAACUUAAGCAUAUCAAUAAGCGGAGGAAAAGAAACUAACAAGGAUUCCCCUAGUAACUGCGAGUGAAGCGGGAAAAGCUCAAAUUUGAAAUCUGGCAGUCUUUUUUUUCUUCUUUGGCUGUCCGAGUUGUAAUCUAGAGAAGUGCUUACCUGCGCUGGACCAUGUAUAAGUCUCCUGGAAUGGAGCGUCACAGAGGGUGAGAAUCCCGUCUUUGACAUGGACUGCCAGUGUGUUGUGGUGUGCUCUCAAAGAGUCGAGUUGUUUGGGGAUGCAGCUCUAAACGGGUGGUAAACUCCAUCUAAAGCUAAAUAUUGGCGAGAGACCGAUAGUGAACAAGUACCGUGAGGGAAAGAUGAAAAGGACUUUGGAAAGAGAGUUAAACAGUAUGUGAAAUUGUUGAAAGGGAAACGCUUCAAGUCAGUUAUGUUGGCUAGGGAUCAACCCAGCAUUUUUGCUGGGUGAAUUUCCUGGUCUGACAGGCCAACAUCAGUCUUGACUGCUGGAAAAGAGCAGAGGGAAUGUGGCACCUUUGGGUGUGUUAUAGCCCUUCGUCAUAUGUGGCAGUCGGGACUGAGGGAUGCAGCAUGCCGUGAGGCUGGGUUUUUUUUUUACCACGUUUCAUGCUUAGGAUGUUGGCUUUUAAUGGCUUCAAUCGACCCGUCUUGAAACACGG
RNAcentral lists this ribosomal RNA (680 nucleotides) under uncultured fungus. RNAcentral's name for it is "eukaryotic LSU rRNA". It matches the Rfam family "Eukaryotic large subunit ribosomal RNA", at positions 24 to 664 of the family's 3401-position model. Lineage: Eukaryota; Fungi. The record is from RNAcentral.